AGAGGUCAACUAGAGCUUCCACCUGCUAGUAAAAGUGCUGUCUAUGAAGAAUAAGUCUUAAUACAUGAAAGAGUCAACUUCAUGAAAUGGCAAGAGAGAUGGUGUUGAAAGUAAAUGAACCACAGACAUAAAGGUAGGACACUCAUCACAGCCUGUGGCAUACGUUUAUCUGGACAACCGACUGUGACCUUCUUAGAGACAAAAUACUUUCAUAUCUAUGUUUGAAACUCCUCAAUGUCUACCCUCCUCCAAAUGCUUGCAUAUAAUAAGCACUCAAUAAAUGUUUUGUGAAUUGA
Molecule: long non-coding RNA, 296 nt
Organism: Bubalus bubalis (water buffalo)
Lineage: Eukaryota; Metazoa; Chordata; Mammalia; Artiodactyla; Bovidae
Exons: 2
Source: RefSeq, a predicted model, not a curated record